Molecule: ribosomal RNA, 442 nt
Filed under: uncultured bacterium
Lineage: Bacteria
Description: partial 16S ribosomal RNA
Rfam family: Bacterial small subunit ribosomal RNA
Source: RNAcentral
CCUACGGGAGGCAGCAGUGGGGAAUAUUGGGCAAUGGGCGCAAGCCUGAUCCAGCAAUGCCGCGUGAAGGAAGAAGGCUUUCGGGUUGUAAACUUCUUUGACAGGGGAAGAGCAGAAGACGGUACCCUGAAAACAAGCCACGGCUAACUACGUGCCAGCAGCCGCGGUAAUACGUAGGUGGCAAGCGUUGUCCGGAUUUACUGAGUGUAAAGGGCGUGUAGCCGGGAAGGCAAGUCAGAUGUGAAAUCUGGAGGCUCAACCUCCAAAUUGCAUUUGAAACUGUUUUUCUUGAGUACUGGAGAGGCAGACGGAAUUCCUUGUGUAGCGGUGAAAUGCGUAGAUAUAAGGAGGAACACCAGUGGCGAAGGCGGUCUGCUGGACAGCAACUGACGGUGAGGCGCGAAAGCGUGGGGAGCAAACAGGAUUAGAUACCCCAGUAGUC